This 484-nucleotide ribosomal RNA is filed under the name uncultured bacterium. Its description in RNAcentral is "partial 16S ribosomal RNA". It matches the Rfam family "Bacterial small subunit ribosomal RNA", at positions 28 to 505 of the family's 1533-position model. The record is from RNAcentral.
GAUGAACGCUGGCGGCGUGCCUAAUACAUGCAAGUCGAACGCUGGAAAUCUAGCUUGCUAGAUUGAAGGAGUGGCGAACGGGUGAGUAAUACAUAAGCAACCUACCCACGAAGACUGGGAUAAUCUCUGGAAACGGGGACUAAUACCGGAUAGGUAAUCGGAAGGCAUCUUCUGAUUAUUAAAGGUUAAAAACACUGGUGGAUGGGCUUAUGGCGCAUUAGUUAGUUGGUGAGGUAACGGCCCACCAAGACGAUGAUGCGUAGCCGGCCUGAGAGGGUGAACGGCCACAUUGAGACUGAGACACGGCCCAGACUCCUACGGGAGGCAGCAGUAGGGAAUUUUCGGGAAUGGGGGAAACCCUGACCGAGCAACGCCGCGUGAGUGAUGACGGCCUUCGAGUUGUAAAGCUCUGUUGUAAGGGAAGAACGGUAGAUAGAGAAUAUCUAAAUGACGGUACCUUACCAGAAAGCCACGGCUAACUACG